RNAcentral lists this ribosomal RNA (453 nucleotides) under uncultured bacterium. RNAcentral describes it as "partial 16S ribosomal RNA". It matches the Rfam family "Bacterial small subunit ribosomal RNA", at positions 29 to 523 of the family's 1533-position model. The record is from RNAcentral.
AACGAACGCUGGCGGCAUGCCUAACACAUGCAAGUCGAACGCCUGCAGCAAUGCAGGAGUGGCAGACGGGUGAGUAACACGUGGGAAUCUACCCAGUAGCUCGGAAUAACCGCGGGAAACUGCGGCUAAUACCGGAUAAGCCCCGAGGGGGAAAGGAGCAAUCCACUAUUGGAGGAGCCCGCGUCUGAUUAGCUAGUUGGUGGGGUAAUGGCCUACCAAGGCGAUGAUCAGUAGCUGGUUUGAGAGAACGACCAGCCACACUGGGACUGAGACACGGCCCAGACUCCUACGGGAGGCAGCAGUGGGGAAUAUUGGACAAUGGGGGAAACCCUGAUCCAGCAAUGCCGCGUGGGUGAUGAAGGCCUUCGGGUUGUAAAGCCCUUUUGUCGGGGACGAUGAUGACGGUACCCGACGAAUAAGCCCCGGCUAACUUCGUGCCAGCCGCCGCCGUAA